Molecule: ribosomal RNA, 301 nt
Filed under: uncultured bacterium
Lineage: Bacteria
Description: partial 16S ribosomal RNA
Rfam family: Bacterial small subunit ribosomal RNA
Source: RNAcentral
CAGUAGCCGCGGGAAUACGUAGGUGGCAAGCGUUGUCCGGAAUUAUUGGGCGUAAAGGGCUCGCAGGCGGUUUCUUAAGUCUGAUGUGAAAGCCCCCGGCUCAACCGGGGAGGGUCAUUGGAAACUGGGAAACUUGAGUGCAGAAGAGGAGAGUGGAAUUCCACGUGUAGCGGUGAAAUGCGUAGAGAUGUGGAGGAACACCAGUGGCGAAGGCGACUCUCUGGUCUGUAACUGACGCUGAGGAGCGAAAGCGUGGGGAGCGAAUAGGAUUAGAGACCCCGGUAGUCCCUGUCUCUUAUAC